Molecule: ribosomal RNA, 388 nt
Filed under: uncultured Pelotomaculum sp.
Lineage: Bacteria; Bacillati; Bacillota; Clostridia; Eubacteriales; Desulfotomaculaceae
Description: bacterial SSU rRNA
Rfam family: Bacterial small subunit ribosomal RNA
Source: RNAcentral
GCGUAUGAAAGUACGAAUUCACCUUCGGGUGACAGGGAGACAGGUGGUGCAUGGUUGUCGUCAGCUCGUGUCGUGAGAUGUUGGGUUAAGUCCCGCAACGAGCGCAACCCCUACGUUUAGUUGCUAACGCGUGAAGGCGAGCACUCUAGACGAACUGCCGUUGACAAAACGGAGGAAGGUGGGGAUGACGUCAAAUCAUCAUGCCCCUUAUGUUCUGGGCUACACACGUGCUACAAUGGCCGGUACAGACGGACGCAAAGCCGCGAGGUGGAGCAAAUCCUAAAAAGCCGGUCUCAGUUCGGAUUGCAGGCUGCAAUUCGCCUGCAUGAAGUCGGAAUCGCUAGUAAUCGCAGGUCAGCAUACUGCGGUGAAUACGUUCCCGGGCCUU